AAUAGACACUUCAAAUGAGGACACAUGGAAAGAGAUAUGAAGAGUCCUAUAACACAACUUAAACAUGGAAAACAGCAAAUAACACAAAUAGUCCACAGGACAACACGAACCUACAAAACAAUGCUAAUUAAAAGAGACAUAUUAGUCCUAGAUCCUUAUAAAUUGUUGUGGUGGUUUGGAUCAUUAAUUAAAGCAUUACAUCAUCAUCAUAAUUUCCGACCAGCAUCAGAUAAUGUUGGACUCUCGAAAACCAGCGAAGCCAUUAUUGGUGAAAGUAUUGGAAAAGCCAUUGUUGUUGGAUGCAUUGGAGGGGGCAUUUCA
RNAcentral lists this unclassified non-coding RNA (321 nucleotides) under Hevea brasiliensis (rubber tree). Lineage: Eukaryota; Viridiplantae; Streptophyta; Magnoliopsida; Malpighiales; Euphorbiaceae. The record is from RNAcentral.